UCUUCUGAGCCGGAAAUCAGAGAAGCGCGCGGGACUAGAAGAGUGACGUAUCCUCAGGCUGUGGCCUGGAUCUUUGCUUUUUAGCAUAUAGUAGUGCGAUGCGCACGCGCCGCCCCUCCUCCCACCCUCUAACCUCAACUGCCCCCAACGGUUUUUCACGCCCUUCCGCGUGACCUACUGAGAUGCACCCCUCCCCCGCUCAAAGAAAAGCAGUGUGGUCCAAAGUCAGGCAACUCCUCUCUGUGUCUUUACGUUUGCUUGUACUCCUUCCAGUAAUAACUUCCUUUCGUGGGCACCUAGGGGUAGGCUCGGAGACUCCUUCCAAGUAUUUCCCCGCACCCUUGAAUUUUAAUUCUUGAGUCCCUCCCCACGCCAAAUCCCAUUUCAUAUUUCUAGAAAAGAAUCAAAAGAUCAGGUUGUCAGUCUUGCCUGGGCGCCGCCUGCGUUGCCGAAGCUGACCGGUGACGUCACAAUGAUGUUCAGAGGGGCCUUUGGAACCGAGGAAGGAAGGAUCAGUCGGCCCAUACCAAGAGCCGAGUUCCCUGACGCCAUCAACAUGCGACUAGUAGCUGGAAGGAAGCCAAGUAAUGCACAAAGAUGCUACAGUUGCUCCGGGCCAACGACGCCCUGGGCUUUCUCAGAGGUCAUGGUACAGAUGAAAGAACAAUGAGGAAGAUUCUGUAGUGGGCCAUGGGAACCUCAUACUCAUUUUGGCAAGAAAUCUGUUCAUACUUCAUCCCAAAUCAGCCUGCCAGGAACAAGUUCCCUCCCUCUUUAUGUUUUGCAUCACUUCACCCAUGUAAUUGAUAUCGUAUCUUGCCUUCUCAGACUGUGGAUAAGGAAUAGGAAGGAAGAAGAAAAUUUUAAACUCAACAUUUUUUGAAACAUUAAAUAAAAAUUCAAAUGUAAAUUGUUUAAUGAAAUAAAUAAAAAUAUGCUUGAAAAGGA
Molecule: long non-coding RNA, 948 nt
Organism: Sarcophilus harrisii (Tasmanian devil)
Lineage: Eukaryota; Metazoa; Chordata; Mammalia; Dasyuromorphia; Dasyuridae
Exons: 2
Source: RefSeq, a predicted model, not a curated record